Molecule: ribosomal RNA, 123 nt
Filed under: Muraltia acerosa
Lineage: Eukaryota; Viridiplantae; Streptophyta; Magnoliopsida; Fabales; Polygalaceae
Description: partial 18S ribosomal RNA
Rfam family: Eukaryotic small subunit ribosomal RNA
Source: RNAcentral
GAUCGCGGCGACGUGUGCGGUUCGCUGCCCGCGACGUCAUGAGAAGUCCACUGAACCUUAUCAUUUAGAGGAAGGAGAAGUCGUAACAAGGUUUCCGUAGGUGAACCUGCGGAAGGAUCAUUG